CCUUCCUUACUGGGGCAUCCAUGAAAACACUCAACCAGGAGUGGUCGGGAAGCAUUUGUCCCUCUCUCCUCCUAGAUACAUCAGCUUCUGUAUCUGCACUAGUCUGGCUGUUUCUUAGUGUCAGGAUUGAUAACUUCACUGUGAAGAAUUCUCUUUUCUCAACUUAUCACAGGUUGAUGUCCAGUUCUUAUAUUAUUGGGUUUAUGUGUCAACUGCAUAGAGCUGUGAUCCUGUUGUUUUCUCACUUUUCUCUUCCCAAUCAGUCGAACAAACACAAGGGAGGGACUGUUGGAAGGGUGACUCCUGAGUGCACUGGUUUUUAGAGUGGUGGGAGGAAUUUUGGAUUAGAAGAAAGGACAGAGAGAAAGUGCUGAAAGGAAGCAAGAACAUUUUGGGCCAAAGGUACAAGGCAAUAUAAUGAGUAGUGUACAUGUACAUGUGUGCAUGUAUGUGAACAUGUGCACGCACACACACACACACACACACACUUCCAUACUCUAUUAUUAGUGUCACUGUGCCUCUAUGCUGACAUAAAUAAUUUAAAAGUUGCCUCCAUAAUCUGGCUAGCACACAUCAGAAGAACCUUAGGGAAUCCUUCCUCUAGCAACAAUUGUUAAACUUCAAAAUUGCUAAAGAAGUAAAAUCUUCUCUGACAUACUUAAACAUACGUUUUCACUCUGAUAGUUGAAUUGUCCUCUUGUAUAAAGUGGUGCAAUGAUGACUUCUUAAACUCUCACUGCUACAUCUUUGAUUCUGGGAUCACUUAGAACUAAAGGGAAAUUCCUAUAUCAAGCCAGAGUUAAAAAUUAAUUAUAAUUACCCCAUAGCCGAAGUCACAUGCACCUGGUAUCCAUCUGAUUCCUUCUUAUCCAUUAGUCAAUCACACACAUGCCUUUUCUGAAUGACAUGCUGCCCUCAGUAGAAAUAAAAAAGAUUGUUUCAAAGCUGCCCAUUGGCAUGUCAUGCACUAAAACAAACCCUUGUUAAGUUAUAUAAAGGGUAGAAUUUUAAUUGCAGAUUCAGGGGUAAAGUUCUCAUUACUAACUCUGCCCCUUGUCUGCGUGUGCGUUGGCCUAGGAGGAAAGAUGAAAAGAUCUAAACAGAGGUGAUUAAGAAGGGUAUAGGGAAUGAUGCAAGAACUUACAAAUAUUUGAGAGCUACAAAAAUAGGAAGGGUUUUGAGCACAGAUAAUUGUGUAUUUAAAAUUUAGAAGAACCUCAGAGACCAUUGUCAAAGUUACAAGAGGUUAAAAUUAAUAAUAAUGACAAAGUUCUAAAAUUGUAGCUUCCUAGCUGUAACAUAAGCUUAAUUUCCUUUUUUUCAUAAGCCUAAUUUCCUAGUUAAACUUAUUUCAUGUUUCUUUAUUUAGUUCAGCUUUUUUUUUUUCAGUUCAGCUUUUAAAACUCCCAAAGCAACAUUUUAUAUCCAGUCUUUACAUGUAGGAAUAAAAUACUCAUAGCAACAUUUUAAGAAUAUCUUCUUUUCUGUGAGUUUCUAUGGCAUCAUGAACAAGUUUACUUUUCCAUUUAAAUAUCUUAUAUUUACAAAGGUCUUCAAAGUGCAUUAAUAUUCUGAUUUAAGCAGUAAAAUCAU
RNAcentral lists this long non-coding RNA (1593 nucleotides) under Canis lupus familiaris (dog). RNAcentral's name for it is "lncRNA (ENSCAFG00000050817.1, ENSCAFG00805018765.1, ENSCAFG00845018051.1)". The record is from RNAcentral. Lineage: Eukaryota; Metazoa; Chordata; Mammalia; Carnivora; Canidae.